Molecule: long non-coding RNA, 858 nt
Organism: Ictalurus punctatus (channel catfish)
Lineage: Eukaryota; Metazoa; Chordata; Actinopteri; Siluriformes; Ictaluridae
Source: Ensembl
UCUAAUUAUAUUCAUAACCACGGGUUUAACUGUAACGCCACUUAUUUACAUGUACGCAAAGGGUGCCAUUAUUUCAGUUGUACAUCAGAAUCCAGGCAAUGCAAAUAGUAGAUGUGUCCUUCCAGUGGCAAAGAUGUUAUUGUCAUGUACGCGUAGGACGUCUGACUAGGGCUCAGUACUGCAUUCCACUUACAACCGUCUAGCGUGAUGGACCGCUUCUUGUUAAUUCUCGCUUCAGUAAUGGCACUAAGUGGGAACAACACCGCGUUGACGAACACCACGUCGACGAACACCACGUCGACGAACACCACGUCGACAUACACCACCAUGUCGACGUACACCACCAUGUCGACGACCACCACGUCGAUGACCACCAUGUCGACGGACACCACGUCGACGACCACCAGGUCGAUGACCACCAUGUCGACGGACACCACGUCGACGACCAGCAGGUCGAUGACCACCAUGUCGACGGACACCACGUCGACGACCACCAUGUCGACGGACACCACGUCGACGACCACCAGGUCGAUGAGCACUACGUUGACGAACACCACACCGACGUUCCUGCAGUGUCAGAACGGUGGUCGUGAAACGAACGGGUUCUGCCUCUGCCCCGAUGAUUACACUGGAAACUUCUGCCAGUUAUCAAGCCUCUGUCCUAAAUCACGUGUUUCUGGCUUCACGUUUCCAAAGACGCUUAUUGGACAAGCAGGUUACUCAAUCGAGCAAUGCAGUCAAGGAACCCUGAACGCCGGAUUUCCGAUGGCCACAGCUUUGUGUCUGAAUAACACUUUCAAUUUUAGUACACCUCAACGGCUGGACUGUGAACAGACCCUUACUACCAUCAAUAACAAU